Molecule: ribosomal RNA, 468 nt
Filed under: uncultured bacterium
Lineage: Bacteria
Description: partial 16S ribosomal RNA
Rfam family: Bacterial small subunit ribosomal RNA
Source: RNAcentral
GACGAACGCUGGCGGCGUGCUUAACACAUGCAAGUCGAACGGAAAGGCCCUGCUUUUGUGGGGUGCUCGAGUGGCGAACGGGUGAGUAACACGUGAGUAACCUGCCCUUGACUUUGGGAUAACUUCAGGAAACUGGGGCUAAUACCGGAUAGGAGCUCCUGCUGCAUGGUGGGGGUUGGAAAGUGUCGGCGGUUGGGGAUGGACUCGCGGCUUAUCAGCUUGUUGGUGGGGUAGUGGCUUACCAAGGCUUUGACGGGUAGCCGGCCUGAGAGGGUGACCGGCCACAUUGGGACUGAGAUACGGCACAGACUCCUACGGGAGGCAGCAGUGGGGAAUAUUGCACAAUGGGCGGAAGCCUGAUGCAGCAACGCCGCGUGCGGGAUGACGGCCUUCGGGUUGUAAACCGCUUUCGCCUGUGACGAAGCGUGAGUGACGGUAAUGGGUAAAGAAGCACCGGCUAACUACGUG